RNAcentral lists this ribosomal RNA (524 nucleotides) under uncultured bacterium. RNAcentral describes it as "partial 16S ribosomal RNA". It matches the Rfam family "Bacterial small subunit ribosomal RNA", at positions 28 to 523 of the family's 1533-position model. The record is from RNAcentral.
GACGAACGCUGGCGGCGUGCCUAAUACAUGCAAGUCGAGCGCAGGAGGCUGACGGAACUCUUCGGAGAGAAGGCAGUGGAAUGAGCGGCGGACGGGUGAGUAACACGUAAGGAACCUGCCUCAAGGAUUGGGAUAACUCCGAGAAAUCGGAGCUAAUACCGGAUAGUUCAACGGACCGCAUGGUCCGCUGAUGAAAGGCGCUUCGGCGUCACCUUGAGAUGGCCUUGCGGUGCAUUAGCUAGUUGGUGGGGUGACGGCCCACCAAGGCGACGAUGCAUAGCCGACCUGAGAGGGUGAUCGGCCACACUGGGACUGAGACACGGCCCAGACUCCUACGGGAGGCAGCAGUAGGGAAUCUUCCACAAUGGACGAAAGUCUGAUGGAGCAACGCCGCGUGAGUGAUGAAGGUUUUCGGAUCGUAAAACUCUGUUGUAAGGGAAGAACACGUACGAGAGGGAAUGCUCGUACCUUGACGGUACCUUACGAGAAAGCCACGGCUAACUACGUGCCAGCAGCCGCCGUAA